This 494-nucleotide ribosomal RNA is filed under the name uncultured bacterium. RNAcentral describes it as "partial 16S ribosomal RNA". It matches the Rfam family "Bacterial small subunit ribosomal RNA", at positions 28 to 507 of the family's 1533-position model. The record is from RNAcentral.
GACGAACGCUGGCGGCGUGCUUAACACAUGCAAGUCGAACGGAAAGGCCUGCUUUCCCUUGUGGAUUGCGGGUACUCGAGUGGCGAACGGGUGAGUAACACGUGAGUGAUCUGCCCCCAACUUGGGUAUAAGCCUGGGAAACUGGGUCUAAUUCCCGAUAGGACUGCAGGGUGGUGCCUGUGGUGGAAAACGAUUUUCUAGUGGUUGGGGAUGAGCUCACGGCCUAUCAGCUUGUUGGUGGGGUAAUGGCCUACCAAGGCGGCGACGGGUAGCCGGCCUGAGAGGGUGGACGGCCACAUUGGGACUGAGAUACGGCCCAGACUCCUACGGGAGGCAGCAGUGGGGAAUAUUGCACAAUGGGCGGAAGCCUGAUGCAGCGACGCCGCGUGGGGGAUGACGGCCUUCGGGUUGUAAACUCCUUUCGACCGCGAGGAAGCCACCUGGUUGGAAGGGUGGUGACGGUAGUGGUAGAAGAAGCACCGGCUAACUACGUG